RNAcentral lists this ribosomal RNA (495 nucleotides) under uncultured bacterium. RNAcentral describes it as "bacterial SSU rRNA". It matches the Rfam family "Bacterial small subunit ribosomal RNA", at positions 28 to 527 of the family's 1533-position model. The record is from RNAcentral.
GAUGAACGCUGGCGGCGUGCUUAACACAUGCAAGUCGAACGAUCGCAAGAUAGUGGCGCACGGGUGAGGAACACGUAGCUAGCCUGCCUUUGGGUCUGGGAUAACGUCGCGAAAGUGACGCUAAGACCGGAUAAGCUCCCGGGUUGUAGAGACCAGAGAGAAAAGGGGCAAGACGCCUGAAGAGGGGGCUGCGGCGCAUCAGCUAGUUGGUGGGGUAAAGGCCUACCAAGGCAACGACGCGUAAGGGGUCUGAGAGGAUGAUCCCUCACACUGGGACUGAGACACGGCCCAGACUCCUACGGGAGGCAGCAGUAGGGAAUUUUGCACAAUGGACGAAAGUCUGAUGCAGCAACGCCGCGUGAGUGAAGAAGGCCCUUGGGUUGUAAAGCUCUUUCGGCUGGGAAGAAGGGUAGAUUGGCUAAUAUCCAAUUUACUGGACGGUACCAGAAUAAGAAGCACCGGCUAACUCCGUGCCAGCAGCCGCGGUAAAGAGCU